GACCGCUCGGCGUCCGGUGAACCUAGUCGCCCCUACCUUUCCCAUCUCCUCCCCUACUUGCCCGCUGCCUGUGUCAGGACUGCCCACCGCUCCCCCGGCCCUGAGUUUGUCCCAUCGCGGCACUGGUGAAUCUGUGAUGGUCUCUUUCUGACCGUCUGGGCUGGACCUGCCGGGAAGGCAGAGGCCCAGCACCAGAUCUCCAAGACCAACUACUGUCCCAAAGCAGCGACCAUCAACAAAUGUUUAUUGUGCAUCAUCUAGGCGUCCGCGUCCAAAGCGCGGAGACUGGUAGCCCAGAGGAAGCUGGAUGCUGCAGAGGAAGCUGGAUGCUGCAGAGGAAGCUGGAUGCUGUGGAUGAAGCAGGGCGGUCAGGCCUGCAGGCAAAGCUGGCGCCGGAGUGAGCUGCGUAUCUCCAGGAAGGCCUUUCGGGGAGCAUCGCUUCUCGCUGUCAGGGCCCAGCACUUCCAGCUCACACACCCGCCUGUUGACCUGAGGGACCACACUCAGCCUGAGCCCAGGACCUUAGGUCCCGCAGGGCUCAACCUAGCACCCGCUGCAACCCUCCCUUGCUAUUCUAUAAGGCCUAAGCUUCAAUCACUACCUUGACAUCUUUGAGCCUCACAGGGCCCCAAAGGCCUAACACGAGUUCCCCGAUAUUGUCAGAAAAGCCCUGCAGCUCCGGGUGUGAUAACAUGUGCCUGUAAUCCCAGUACUUUGGGGGGCUGAGGCAGAAGGAUUACAAUUUUGAGCCCAACCUGGGCAAUUUACCAAUACCCUGUCUCAAUUUUUUUUGAGGGGGUGAUGGUUUGAGACCGGG
Heterocephalus glaber (naked mole-rat) is the source of this 817-nucleotide long non-coding RNA. Lineage: Eukaryota; Metazoa; Chordata; Mammalia; Rodentia; Bathyergidae. The record is from Ensembl.